Molecule: RNA transcript, 4985 nt
Organism: Homo sapiens (human)
Lineage: Eukaryota; Metazoa; Chordata; Mammalia; Primates; Hominidae
Gene: WASHC2C
Gene name: WASH complex subunit 2C
Exons: 33
Source: RefSeq, marked validated
GGUCCUCGGCCUGUGCUGGCAGCCUCGGAGCCCACCGAGCCGGGCGGCUGGGAUGAUGAACCGGACGACCCCCGACCAGGAGCUGGUGCCGGCGUCGGAGCCCGUGUGGGAGCGGCCGUGGUCGGUGGAGGAGAUCCGCAGGAGCAGCCAGAGCUGGUCGCUGGCGGCCGACGCGGGCCUACUACAGUUUCUACAGGAAUUCUCACAGCAAACUAUCUCUAGGACCCAUGAAAUCAAGAAACAAGUGGACGGACUAAUCCGGGAAACCAAAGCCACAGAUUGUCGCCUGCAUAAUGUCUUCAAUGACUUCCUUAUGCUCUCUAAUACCCAGUUCAUAGAGAAUCGUGUAUAUGAUGAAGAAGUGGAGGAGCCAGUACUCAAGGCUGAGGCAGAAAAAACAGAGCAGGAGAAGACACGAGAGCAGAAAGAAGUAGAUCUCAUUCCUAAAGUCCAGGAGGCUGUGAACUAUGGCUUACAAGUAUUGGACAGUGCCUUUGAGCAACUUGAUAUCAAAGCAGGAAACUCAGACUCCGAGGAAGAUGAUGCUAAUGGGCGGGUGGAACUGAUCCUUGAACCAAAGUAGAGACGGGGUUUCACCAUGGUGACCAGGCUGGUCUUGAACUCCUGACCUCAAGUGAUCCGCCCGCCUCGGCCUCCCAAAAGUACUGGGAUUACAGGAUCUAUACAUUGAUCGUCCUUUACCAUAUCUCAUUGGGUCAAAGCUGUUCAUGGAACAAGAAGAUGUAGGUCUUGGAGAGCUGUCCAGUGAAGAAGGCUCUGUAGGCAGUGAUCGUGGCAGUAUUGUGGACACUGAGGAAGAGAAAGAAGAGGAGGAGUCAGAUGAAGAUUUUGCCCAUCACAGUGACAAUGAACAAAACCAGGAUACAUUUUUAGGCCGGGCUUGGUGGCUCACGCCUGUAAUCCUAGCAGUUUGGGAGGCUGAGGCGGGUGGAUCACCUGAAGUCAGGAGUUCAAGACCAGCCUAGACAACAUGCACACCACACAAAUGAGUGAUGAGGAAGAGGAUGAUGAUGGCUGUGACCUUUUUGCUGACUCUGAGAAGGAGGAGGAAGAUAUUGAGGACAUUGAAGAAAAUACUAGACCUAAAAGAAGCAGACCUACAUCGUUUGCAGAUGAGCUGGCUGCCCGCAUCAAGGGGGAUGCCAUGGGUCGAGUGGACGAGGAGCCGACAACCUUACCCUCAGGAGAAGCAAAACCUCGGAAGACACUCAAAGAGAAGAAGGAAAGGAGAACUCCUUCAGACGAUGAAGAGGAUAACUUAUUCGCACCCCCCAAGCUGACCGACGAGGACUUCUCGCCAUUUGGCUCUGGAGGUGGCCUGUUCAGUGGCGGCAAGGGGCUAUUUGAUGAUGAGGACGAGGAGAGUGACCUCUUCACGGAAGCCUCCCAGGAUCGGCAAGCUGGAGCCUCUGUUAAGGAGGAGUCUUCAUCAUCCAAACCUGGAAAGAAAAUCCCAGCAGGAGCUGUUUCUGUAUUUUUAGGAGACACGGAUGUGUUUGGUGCUGCCUCCGUUCCAUCACUGAAGGAGCCACAGAAGCCUGAGCAGCCCACUCCAAGGAAAAGCCCCUAUGGUCCCCCUCCCACUGGCCUCUUUGAUGAUGAUGAUGGUGAUGAUGAUGACGACUUUUUCUCGGCACCCCACAGCAAACCUUCUAAAACACGCAAAGUCCAAUCCACUGCCGAUAUCUUUGGUGACGAAGAAGGAGAUCUGUUCAAAGAAAAAGCCGUAGCAUCGCCAGAAGCCACUGUGAGUCAGACAGAUGAAAAUAAAGCAAGAGCAGAAAAAAAGGUUACCUUAUCUUACAGCAAAAAUCUCAAGCCCUCAUCAGAAACAAAGACUCAAAAAGGCUUAUUUUCAGAUGAGGAGGACUCUGAGGAUUUGUUUUCUUCUCAAAGUGCGAGUAACUUAAAAGGUGCAUCUCUGCUGCCUGGCAAGCUCCCCACGUCGGUUUCCCUGUUUGAUGAUGAAGAUGAAGAGUGACUUCUUCCUUAUAUUUUCCUAGCUGUGCAAUGGAGAAGACAUUAGAUUCUUGACGCAGUUCUUUUUUUUUUUUUUUCCGAGUUGGAGACUUUCUCUGUCACCCAGGCUGGAGUGCAGUGAUGCGAUCUUGGCUCACUGUAACCGGGUUCAGGUGAUUCUCCUGCCUCGACCUCCCAAGUAGCUGGGACUACAGGAUAAUCUUUUUGGGGGUACAGCUGCUAAGAAGCAGACAUUGUCUCUACAAGCUCAGAGAGAAGAGAAAGCAAAAGCCUCCGAGCUCUCCAAAAAGAAAGCAUCUGCCCUGUUGUUCAGCAGUGAUGAGGAGGACCAGUGGAAUAUUCCUGCUUCACAGACCCACUUAGCAUCUGACAGCAGGUCUAAAGGAGAACCCAGGGAUUCUGGGACCCUCCAGAGCCAGGAGGCCAAGGCUGUGAAAAAGACCAGUCUCUUUGAGGAAGACAAAGAAGAUGAUCUUUUUGCCAUUGCCAAGGACAGCCAAAAGAAGACCCAGAGAGUGUCACUCCUCUUUGAAGACGAUGUUGAUAGCGGAGGCUCUCUGUUUGGCUCUCCUCCCACAUCUGUUCCUCCUGCAACAAAGAAAAAAGAGACUGUCUCUGAGGCACCACCUUUGCUGUUCAGCGAUGAAGAAGAGAAGGAGGCACAACUUGGAGUGAAGUCUGUGGAUAAGAAGGUUGAGAGUGCCAAGGAGUCAUUAAAAUUUGGGAGAACUGAUGUGGCUGAGUCAGAAAAGGAAGGACUUUUGACUAGAUCUGCUCAGGAAACAGUCAAGCAUUCUGAUUUAUUUUCUUCAUCAUCCCCAUGGGACAAAGGAACCAAGCCUAGAACCAAAACUGUUCUUAGCUUGUUUGAUGAGGAAGAGGAUAAAAUGGAAGAUCAAAACAUUAUCCAGGCUCCACAGAAAGAAGUAGGAAAGGGCUGCGAUCCUGAUGCCCACCCCAAGAGCACAGGUGUCUUCCAGGAUGAAGAGCUGCUUUUCAGCCACAAGCUCCAAAAGGACAAUGACCCAGAUGUUGACCUUUUUGCUGGCACCAAAAAAACCAAGCUGUUAGAGCCAAGUGUUGGGAGCCUGUUUGGGGAUGAUGAAGAUGAUGAUCUUUUCAGCUCUGCCAAGUCCCAGCCUUUGGUACAAGAGAAAAAGAGAGUAGUGAAAAAAGACCACUCUGUUAACUCUUUCAAAAACCAGAAACAUCCUGAAUCCAUUCAAGGUAGUAAAGAAAAAGGCAUAUGGAAGCCGGAAACACCUCAGGCAAAUUUAGCGAUCAACCCAGCGGCCUUGCUGCCCACAGCGGCUUCCCAGAUCUCUGAAGUAAAGCCUGUUUUGCCAGAAUUGGCUUUUCCUUCAUCUGAACACAGAAGGAGCCACGGUCUGGAAAGUGUGCCUGUCCUUCCCGGGAGUGGGGAGGCCGGUGUGAGUUUUGAUCUUCCAGCUCAGGCAGACACCUUACACAGUGCAAACAAGAGCCGUGUCAAGAUGAGAGGGAAGCGUAGACCGCAGACCCGUGCAGCUAGGCGGCUGGCUGCUCAGGAGUCCAGCGAGGCUGAGGACAUGAGCGUCCCCAGAGGACCCAUUGCACAGUGGGCUGAUGGCGCCAUUUCCCCAAAUGGCCAUCGGCCACAGCUCAGAGCAGCCAGUGGAGAAGACAGCACUGAGGAGGCCCUGGCAGCUGCCGCUGCACCUUGGGAAGGUGGUCCUGUGCCUGGAGUGGACACAAGCCCCUUUGCAAAGUCUCUGGGUCAUUCCAGAGGGGAGGCUGACCUUUUUGAUUCUGGGGACAUUUUUUCCACGGGCACUGGAUCUCAGUCCGUGGAGAGAACAAAACCCAAGGCAAAGAUAGCAGAGAAUCCUGCCAACCCACCAGUGGGUGGUAAAGCAAAGAGCCCCAUGUUUCCUGCUCUAGGCGAGGCCAGCAGUGAUGAUGAUCUCUUUCAGUCUGCUAAACCAAAACCAGCAAAGAAAACAAAUCCCUUUCCUCUCCUGGAAGAUGAGGAUGACCUCUUUACAGAUCAGAAAGUCAAGAAGAAUGAGACAAAAUCCAGUAGUCAGCAGGAUGUCAUAUUAACAACACAAGAUAUUUUUGAGGAUGAUAUAUUUGCUACGGAAGCAAUUAAACCCUCUCAGAAAACCAGAGAGAAGGAGAAAACAUUGGAAUCUAAUUUAUUUGAUGAUAACAUUGAUAUCUUUGCUGACUUAACUGUAAAACCAAAAGAAAAGUCCAAAAAGAAAGUGGAAGCCAAGUCUAUAUUUGAUGAUGAUAUGGAUGACAUCUUCUCCACUGGUAUCCAGGCUAAGACAACCAAACCAAAAAGCCGAUCUGCACAGGCCGCACCUGAACCAAGAUUUGAACACAAGGUGUCCAACAUCUUUGAUGAUCCCCUGAAUGCCUUUGGAGGCCAGUAGAGCACACAGGGUAUCCACAUGUUACCCUGCAGCUACAUUGUUGAGUUAGUGAUGAUAUUGUAUAUGCUCAUGGUCUUAACUGGAUUACAAAAAGCAAAUACUAGAACAGCUAGCUCAUCUUUUACCCAAUGUACUUAGUAUUUUUCUGCACUGGUUUAAUCAUGCUUAAUACUACAAAACAAAAAUAAAUAUUUCACAGUGGUUGGUUUGUUUUGUUUUUAAACCACAGUUUGAUUUAGUUAGCCUUGCUGGGGCCAUAAUAUGCUUCAGGGUGUGUAAAAGAAGAAAUCUCUUUGUGGCUUUCAUGGGCAGGGAAUCUCAGAGAUAGCAAAUGCCACCUGACCAGAAGUCUUUGUUAUAUGGAUGGGAACCCUAACUUAGGGCUUGGGCAGGGGAAAGAGAAAGAAGAUGAGAGAUUAUACUUCAUGAGUCUUAGCAAUAUGGGAGCAGGUUUUCACUGAAUUCUGAGGGUGCCUCUGCAUGUCCUCCAAGGCAAAGUUUGGCAAACUGUGGCCCCCCCACUGUCAUAUUUUGUUAAUAAAAUUUUAUUGGAACACAAUCACA